GGCUCAGGACGAACGCUGGCGGCGUGCUUAACACAUGCAAGUCGAGCGGUAAGGCUCCUUCGGGAGUACACGAGCGGCGAACGGAUGAGUAACACGUGAGCAAUCUGCCCUUCACUUCGGGAUAACUCCGGAAAACCGGUGCUAAUACCGAAUACGACCACUUCAGGCAUCUGAUGGUGGUGGAAAGUUCCGGCGGUGAAGGAUGAGCUCGCGGCCUAUCAGCUUGUUGGUGGGGUAACGGCCCACCAAGGCAACGACGGGUAGCCGGCCUGAGAGGGUGACCGGCCACACUGGGACUGAGACACGGCCCAGACUCCUACGGGAGGCAGCAGUGGGGAAUAUUGGACAAUGGGCGAAAGCCUGAUCCAGCAACGCCGCGUGAGGGAUGACUGCCUUCGGGUUGUAAACCUCUUUCAGCAGGGACGAAGCGCAAGUGACGGUACCUGCAGAAGAAGCACCGGCCAACUACGUGCCAGCAGCCGCGGUAAUACGUAGGGUGCGAGCGUUGUCCGGAAUUAUUGGGCGUAAAGGGCUCGUAGGCGGUCUGUCGCGUCGGGAGUGAAAACUCAGGGCUUAACCCUGAGCCUGCUUCCGAUACGGGCAGACUAGAGGUAUGCAGGGGAGAACGGAAUUCCUGGUGUAGCGGUGGAAUGCGCAGAUAUCAGGAGGAACACCGGUGGCGAAGGCGGUUCUCUGGGCAUUACCUGACGCUGAGGAGCGAAAGUGUGGGGAGCGAACAGGAUUAGAUACCCUGGUAGUCCACACCGUAAACGUUGGGCGCUAGGUGUGGGACUCAUUCCACGAGUUCCGUGCCGCAGCUAACGCAUUAAGCGCCCCGCCUGGGGAGUACGGCCGCAAGGCUAAA
This 865-nucleotide ribosomal RNA is filed under the name uncultured bacterium. RNAcentral's name for it is "bacterial SSU rRNA". It matches the Rfam family "Bacterial small subunit ribosomal RNA", at positions 21 to 898 of the family's 1533-position model. The record is from RNAcentral.